RNAcentral lists this ribosomal RNA (253 nucleotides) under uncultured bacterium. RNAcentral describes it as "partial 16S ribosomal RNA". It matches the Rfam family "Bacterial small subunit ribosomal RNA", at positions 524 to 776 of the family's 1533-position model. The record is from RNAcentral.
GACGUAGGGGGCCAGCGUUGCUCGGAAUUACUGGGUGUAAAGGGUUCGUAGGCGGUGUGGCAAGUCGGGAGUGAAAUCUCUGGGCUCAACCCAGAGUCUGCUUCCGAAACUGCUGUGCUUGAGUGUGGGAGAGGCGCGUGGAAUUGCAGGUGUAGCGGUGAAAUGCGUAGAUAUCUGCAGGAACACCCGUGGCGAAAGCGGCGCGCUGGACCACUACUGACGCUGAGGAACGAAAGCGUGGGGAUCGAACAGG